GACAUGAGGUACCAACAGAUUUGUCAAGUCUUUUCAAAUUGUCGUUAUUAUCGACGUAUCCUUAAUUCUAGUACUAAAAAAAUACAAAAAAAACAAACUAACAUAAAAUUCCUGCGUGAUCAGUCGUCUUUUCAAUAUAAGAGUUUUCAGUAGGUGACGCUCAAAUUAAAUUCAUAUGUAAUUGUAGUGCUUUCGAUAUCUUGGUUUUGACAUUUAAAGAUUUCUAGUAUCAAAAUGGGUGUUCACUCUCUUAACAUAUAUUGUAGGAUGGUUUCAAAAUUUUCUAGAGCUGCAAUGAAUGAUUAUUUUAAGAUGGAAUACCUAACUCAUAUAUGAAUUCAUGCUAGUAAAUUUUUUUUUUCUAAAGUUAAAUGACAUUCGAUGUGUUGUAAAGUGAUACGUCAUUGUUGAGGAGACAAUUUUGUAAUGCAACAAGUUUUCCAUAGAUUUAAUUUGUUCACCCUUUAAUCAAGAUUUGAAGUAAGAAUUUUUGAAUAGUUUGUUAUUUACUGUCAACACAAAAUCAACAUGUAGCUAGAAACGUUUCUUAAAAUGUUUCUAGAAUGUCAUGUCAACAUGGACCUUUCGAUUCAUGUUUAUUCAUACAAAGAAAGCCGGUACUUUAUAAUUUUCACAAAAAAUGUGAAAAAGGAGUUAGAAUAACAUCGAAUGAGACAGGAACUUGUGAGUAAGAAUGGAUAUUAUUUAGGUAUUUUCUUCUUGUUAAAGUCCAACUCGACGCAGACUUGGACUUUGCGUUGAUCAAUCUUUCUUGGUUAGUUCUUACGAGAGGGAUCGCCUAAUAUUUUAGCUUGUAGUGCAUAACGUUAAACUUUAUUAAUUUGAAACUCUAGUAGAUUUUUUCAAGCUCACUCUUUUGAAUGUUUCUAAAAUAUCCGUCCUAUGUCAUUUCAAUUUUCUCAAUAAAUGAGUUCAGUGAUCCACGACAAAU
Hylaeus volcanicus is the source of this 952-nucleotide long non-coding RNA. RefSeq lists it as uncharacterized. Lineage: Eukaryota; Metazoa; Arthropoda; Insecta; Hymenoptera; Colletidae. The transcript has 2 exons. The record is from RefSeq and is a predicted model, not a curated record.